RNAcentral lists this ribosomal RNA (255 nucleotides) under uncultured bacterium. RNAcentral's name for it is "partial 16S ribosomal RNA". It matches the Rfam family "Bacterial small subunit ribosomal RNA", at positions 524 to 776 of the family's 1533-position model. The record is from RNAcentral.
UACGUAGGGUGCAGGCGUUGUCCGGAAUUAUUGGGCGUAAAGAGCUCGUAGGCGGUUUGUUGCGUCGGCUGUGAAAUCCCGAGGCUCAACCUCGGGUCUGCAGUCGAUACGAGCAAACUAGAGUGUUGCAGGGGAGACUGGAAUUCCUGGUGUAGCGGUGAAAUGCGCAGAUAUCAGGAGGAACACCGGUGGCGAAGGCGGGUCUCUGGGCCGAUACUGACGCUGGAGGAGCGAAAGCCGUGGGGAGCGAACAGG